CUCCAUCACUUUGCAGGCCAGAGACCCUUGGCUGGUGACAACCCACCUGGGCCUCGCUCAGCCACACUGGUAUGCCCCAGUGUUAUAGCCUGUACCCACAAUCAGCAGUUCCCAAGCUCUUGUACUGCACCCAAGAAGAAUGAGGAUAUGGUGAACAUUGAAGUGUGAGGAGGGUGGCCUGAAUUUUAUUGAGCGACGGAACAGCUCUCAGCAGAGGGGAUGCAGUGGGGCGAUUCCGCUACCGGAAGGUGGGCAAGUCUCCCAUGUGGCUGGGUCCAGGGUGUUUUGUGGACUCAGAAUGGGGAGUGCAUGCUGACUGGCUUAUAAGUAUGCAAAGUGAAGACAUCACCCAAAGAAUCCUUGGCCAGUCAAAUCUACAGGGUAUCUCUCCUCAAGCAGUAAUCAGGGGUCCAUGAUUGCCAUGACAGAAGAAGAAACAGAAGAAUAAUGAUUGCUGGCUGUUAACUUCCUCGGCCUGGAAGUCAUACUCUCUGCUCACCUCUCAUUGGUUUGGACCAACCUACAGUCCCGUAGUGAGGGUAAGAACAUAGAAAACACAUGCAUACUUUGGUGAGCACUAACAACCUCUGCAAUAAAUAUAAAUAAGGUAAAGGCAGACUACAAAAAGAAUAAAAAUCCAUAAACAGAUUUUAAAAGUAUAUUAUCAUUAUUAUUCAGAGAGUCUUCCUCUGUUGCCUAGGCUGGAGUGCAGUGGUGUGAUCAUGGUUCACUGCAGCCUUGACCUCUCACGUCAGCCUCCCAAGUAGCUAGGACAACAGAUAUGCACCCACCACACCUAGCUAAUUUUGUAUUUUUUAUAGGGACAAGGUCUCACUCUGUUGCCCAGGCUGGUUGCAAACUCCUGAGCUCAAGCAGUCCUCCUGCCUUAGCCUCCCAAAGUGCUGGGACAAAAGGCAUGAGCAACUGCACUAGGCCAAAAAUAUAUUAUUUUUACAGGAAUGUUUGGAAGGCUACUCAACAAUAAAUCUGACAACCUAGCUUCAAUAGACAAAUUCUUGGGAAAAGAUAAAGAACCAAAAUCGGAACAAGAAGAAUGUUAAAGAAUAGCCAAGGCCAGGCACAGUGGCUCACACCUGUAAUCCCAGCACUUUGGGAGGCUGAGGUGGGUGGAUCACAAGGUCAGGGGUUUGAGACCAGCCUGACCAACAUAAGGAAACACCGUCUCUACUAAAAACACAAAAAUUAGCCAGGCGUGCUGGUGCACACCUGUAAUCCCAGCUACUCAGGAGGCUGAGGCAGGAGAAUUGCUUGAAAACCCGGGAGGUGGAGUUUGCGUUGAGCCGAGAUCGCCAGAGCGAGACUCUGUCUCAAAAAAACAAACAAACAAAAAAACAAAUAGCCAUAUGUUAACAAAAAUGGAAAUAGUAAUCAAAAAUCUCUCUCUAUCCUUGCCUUGCUUCACAAAAAAAUAAAAAUAAAAAUAAAGCCCCUGUUCCAGCUAUCAACUAAUUGUCCUUCAGCUGUAUCCCUUCUUUGUUAUCCUGCUUUGCGAUAGUAAAGCUGGACCCUGUAAACAUUUCUUCUUUUCCAGUUGGCAUGGUGGUAAGUUUUGUCAGUAGAGAGCGCUGGGGGACACUCCCGGUGGAAUGACUUCUCUCCUUGGUUUCCAAAUGCCACUCCUCUCUUUUGCAGUGAGACCUUGUCCCUAAAAAAUUAUAAAAUUAGCCAGGUGUGGUGGGUGCAUACUUGGGAGGCUGAGGUGAGAGGUUGAGGCUGCAGUGAACCAUGAUCACACCACUGCACUCCUGCCUAGGCAACAGAGCAAGCACUUCUGCAGCACUCAGCCUGCAUGAGGGAAACCCACUGGCACUCAGUCCUUCUAGUGAGUUCCUGUGGAACCCCCAUGGUGGCAUUCUAGUAGGCUCUACCAGCCUGCCAGCCAUCCUCCCAGCCAUCCUCCCAGCCAGCCUCUCCCAGCCAGCCUCCCAGCCAGUCUCCCAGGAGGGAGUUAGGUGUCAUCUCCACAAGCGAUUUUGUUGGCAAGUUCUGUAAGCUCCCAGCUGACAUUCAGGAUGUCUCACAGGCAAUCCAGCAGACAGUAUUCCAGCAAGUUCUGCUGCCCCCCAGUUCCCUUUCUAAAUAACCUCACAGGCAUCCCAGUGGGUGCUUCCUAUUGAGUUUGAGCAGAACUCCAUGGGCAGGCUUCCCAGAGGGCAGCUAACCUCCUGCAAGUUUUGUUUACACCCUAGACACAGUUUUCUGAUGAUCAACCUGGGCCUUUGACACCUCAGUCAACUUUUACACUAUUCAGAGGGCUACAGUCACACCCUUUCUAACAAAGUCUAAAUUAGCCCCUGUUGGAGGUGGGGGAACCCUCUUCCAAAUUUGUUCCUCCCUUGGGUCCUCUGUCUUAGCCCUAGUAGUUGUGACUUUUCCAUAGGGGGAAUACAUUCUACAUCUGUAUUCCUUGGAGUUCCUUCAUUAUCAUUUAAUAAUUCUUUUCAUUGCUUUUUCUGUUCAACUUAUUCUAUAACUUCUGUCUCCUGACUAGAUCCUGACUGAUGUAGCCCAAGACCCAGACAGUUUCAAAAGGAGAGUGCACCAAACGUCAAGGCACAGACAAUCCCAAUUUUACAUAUCAUCAAAAACAAAGAAAAAAGGAAAGGAAAUUUAUUUUAUGAUUCUAGUGCAAUUCACAUUCUCAAUCUAGAUUAGGGCAAUACAUUAAAACACAAUUUCAUGUCCUUCAAUAGGCAAAUCCAUAAAUGAGCUAUGGCACAUCUGACAAUAGGAUGUUAUUCAGUGAUUUAAAAUGUGAGUGUUCAAACCAUUUUUAUAGGGCAGGAAGGACAGCUGCAUAGGUGAAGCAGAGGGGAUUUUUAGAGCAGCAUAAUUGUUGUGUAUGAUACUGUAAUGGUGGAUACAUGCUAUUAUACAUUUACCAAAACCCAGAAAAUGUGCAUCAACAGUGAAUUCCAAUGUAAACUAUAGACUUUUGUGAAUAAUGUAACAAUAUUGGCUCAUCAAUUGUAAUAAAUGUACCGUGCUAAUGCAAGAUGUUAGUAAUAAGGGAAACUGGGGUAGAGUGGAGAGUAUAUGGGAACUCUCUGUAUUUUCUACUCAAUUUUUCUGAAACUUAAAACUGCUCCCCCCCAAAAAAUAAAACACAAUUCCAGACCUAACUUACUUAUGAAUAUAAAGCAUAAAUGCCAACAUGAUGACAUGAUGUUUUUGUUUCUUUAUUUCUUUUUUUUUUUUUUUUGAGAGACAGGAUCUUGCUCUGUCGCCCAGGUUGGAGCGCACUAAUGAGAUCAUAGCUCACUACAGCCUCAACCUCCUGGGUUCAAGCAAUCCUCCCAUUUCAACCUCCCAAGAAGUUGGAACUAAAGGCAUGUGCCACCGCUCCCAGGUAAUUUUUGUAUAUUUUGUAAAGAUGAGGUCUCUGUCUCACCAUGUUGCCAGGCUAGUCUUGAACUCCUGGGCUCAAGUGAUCUUCUUGCUUCAGCCCCUGAAAGGGCUGGGACCACAGGUGUGAGCCAUCACACCCACUCAAAUGCAAAAAUCUUAAAGCAAAUAUUAGAUCAACAAACUCAGUAUUAUUUAAAUAACUACAUAAUGAUGAACUAAGGUUUAUAUCAGGAAUAAUAUAAUGAAUUAGCAUAAUAAAAUGUUAAUAUAACAAUAUAUUAAUAAGUAAAAAGGAAAAAUAACUUGGUCUUUUUGAUAGAUUCAGAAACACAUCAAUGAAGUUCAGCACUCAUUUAUGACAAAAACUAUCACAAACCAGGUAAGAAAUAAAUCUCCUUAAUGUAAUAAAGUCUACAUCCUGAAACUCAAUAGUAAAUGUAAUUCUUAAUGGAGAAUAUUUUUAAAAGUAAGAUAAUGUAAAAAUUGCCUUUAUAUUGAGAGGAUAUUAUAAUUUGCAUUGAACAUCCAGUAGAAUCAACAAACUAUUAGAAAGAGUUUAUCAAGCUUUCUGAACAUAGACAAGUGAGCACAUUUUCUUAUCCCAGCAAUAAGCUAUUAGAAUAGUAGUAGAAAAUAAGAUACCACUGAAAAAACUACAAAGUAUACAGAAAUUAACCUAAUAAAAUGCACAAAGUUUUUAUAGGAAAAAAAUUUUAAACCCUAUUGAAAGCCAUACAGUAGACUUGAGUAAAUACAGAGAUUACUAUAUCCAUGGAGGGUUUGACUUAACAUUGUAAAGAUGUCAAUUCUUUCCAAUAGUACUCUUUAAAUUUCAUUAGCACUGACUGCUGGCUCUUUCCUCCAAACUUCACCUGGUUAAACUACGAAAGAGGAAGGAAAGCACAGAUCUGAGGAUUUCACAGCUAUAACAAAAACAAAUGAACAGAAAGCUGUGAGAAACACAUUGGAAGACAAAAGGUAACUCAUGAUUUAAUGUGGAUGGAAACCAGCAGCAUGGGGUAGGUAAAUGUUAAUGCCACAGCCAGCAAAUAGAAUGGAGGAAAACUGUAUUAUUUUUAAACUUUUAUCAUAGAAUAAUUUUUAAAAGUACAAACAUUAAGAGAAUAGUAUAUGGUAUUCCCUUGUAACCUCCUUCACCCAUGUUCAACUCAUGGAAAAACUUUUUCACUUAUAUUCCACACAUCCCCUACUCAACUUGGAUACUUUUGCCCAACUGACUUCAAAAGGCUACUGUGCACGGGCAUGGUGGCCCAUGCCUGUAAUCCCAACCCUUUGGGAGGCCGAGAUGGGAGGAUUGCUUGAGCUCAGGAAUUCAAGACCAGGCCAAGCAACAUAAUAAGGCCCUGUCUGUACUAGAAAUCAAAAAAAUUAGCCAGGUGUGGUGGUGCAUGUCUGUAGGUAUUCCCAGCUACUCAGGAGGAUGAAGUGAGAGAAUUGCUGGAGCCCAGGAGGUUGAGGCUGCAGUGAGUUGUGAUUGUGCCACUGCACUCCAGCCUGGGCAACAGAGUGAGACCCUGUUUCAAAAAAAAAAGAAGGCUACUGUAGCAUUAAUUUUCAAAUAAUGACUGAGUAAUAGAAAAUCAUAAUCCCAUUUCAUUUAUGAAUGAACAUGACAUGAACAUUUUAAAUAAAAUAUUAGGUAAUAAAAUUUCAUACUUACAUUUAAAAUAAUAUUUUUUAAAUAAUAUGUUUCAUAAUGGAACCUAUCAGUAGCAUAUGACACUGUUGAUUCCUCUCUUUUUCUUCAUUUUCUUUUCUUGGCUUAAAAGCUAUAACUUUCUUUUGAUUCUCCUCCUACCUAAGAAGUUACUCCCUCUCAAGCUUCUUCUUUGGUGUGUCCACACUUUCCCAACUUUUAGCAUUAAAUUUCACCAAGACUGUGUCUCAGACCUCUCCUUUUCUCAAUCUAAACUUAUUUUCCAGGUCAUCUCAACCAUGCUUGCAACUUGAACUACCAUGACUUCCAAAUUUAUAUCUUGACCUUUGACUUGUCCUUAAAUGCGAGACUCAUGUAUGUAAUUCCCUACUUCACAUCUACACUUGAAUAUUUAAUAUACACUUAAGAUAUCCUAAAUCAUAAUUUUGAGCUUCUCUCCUCUACCUGCCCACCACCCCACCAAGCCUUCUGCUCCUGCCCUCUUCAUUUUAUUAAAUAUCAAUUUCAUCCUUAUAGCUGCUCAUACCUACACCCCGAAUAUAUCUAUGAUUCCUCUUUAAUAACCUGUAUCUAAUUCAUCAGAAAUCCUGUUUAACAUAUCUUCAAACAUAUCAAGAAUCAGACCACUUUGCACUACCCCAUAACUACCACUGGUUCAAAACAAUGAUUUCUUAUUUGGAUUAUGCAAAGCCUCUUAACUAAUCUCCUUCAACUCAUAUCACCUCUUAAAACUCUUCUCCCCAUCACAGCUAGAAAGUUUUAUUUUAAAAGUUUUUCAUAGACUUAAUUUUUUAGGGAACUUUUGUGUUCACAGCAAAACUAAAGAGAAAGUAGAGAGUUCCCAUAUAUUUCCUACCACUACACCAAAACAGCUUUCUCCACUAUCAAAAUCCACUCCCCAAACUGGUACAUUUGUUAACAUGGAUGAGCCUACAUUGGCACAUAAUUAUCACCCAAAGUCUAUAGCUUACAUUAUAGUUCACUCUUGGUAUAAAUUGAAUGUGUUUUGACAAAUGUAUAAUGAGCUGCAUCCACCACUAUAGGAUCAUACAGAGUAGUUUCACUGCCGUAAAAGUCUUCUGUGCACUGCCUACUCAUCCUUCUCUUCCAUCUGACCCCUGGAAACCACUGAUCUUCUUACUGUCUCCGUAGUUUUGUCUUUUCAGAGUAUCAUAGAGCUCAAAUCACCCAUUAUGUGCCCUUUCCAGAUUGGUUCCUUUCACUUAGUAUGCAUUUAUUAUUCUUCUAUGUCUUUUCAUGGCUUGACAGCUCAUUUGUUUUUUAGUGCCCAAUAAUAUUCCAUUGCCUGGAUGUACCACAGUUUAUUUUACCAUUCACCUACUGAAAAACAUCUCCUUGCUUCCAAGUUUUGGCAAUUAUGAAUAAAACUACGAUAAAUAUUUGUAUGAAGAUUUUUGUGUGGACAUAGUUUUCAACUCAUUUUAUUAAAUACCAAGAAGCAUGAUUGCUGAAUUAUAUGUGAAGAGGUAUGUUUAAUUUUGUACAAAACUGACAAACUAUCUUUCAGAAUGCGUACACCAUUUUGCAUUCCCACCAGCAAUAAAUUGGAGUUUCUGUUGUUCCAAAUUCUCACCAGCAUUUCAUAGUGUUUGUGUUUUGAAUUUUUACUAUUCUAUUAAUAACAGGUGUGUAAUGGUAUCUCAUUGUUACCUUAAUUUGCAAGCCUCCCUAAUGACGUGUGAUGUUAAACAUAUUUUACAUGUUUGUUUUCCAUCUGUAAAUCUUUGUGAGAUGUCUGUUCAGAUCUUUUGCUCUUUUGUAAUCAUUGUUUCUUUUUAAAUCAUUGAGUUUUAGAGACUCUUUAAAAAUGUAUGUUAGAUCAUUUUACUCCUAUUCUCAAAUAAAAAUAAUGAUCACAUUUAAUCUUCACCAUGAACUGUUCUAAGUGCUAUUCAAAUGGCAUUCCAUCCAUUUUAAGAUGUAUAUUCCUUUUUCUCUUCACUUUAAAAAUAUUUUAAAUUGGGAUGUAUCUCACUGCUGUUGGCCAGGGAGUAGUCAUGAUGUAACUGUCAUUGCCUAUUUAUGCAAAUAAAAACUUGCUAAAGAUGUUGGUGUCAUGGAAGAAAAUCUCAUAGACAAUAAUAAAACAUAAUUUUUAAAAUGUUGCAUCACCAGUGGUCUGAAUGCAAACAAGAAUGAUAUUGGGUAGAAAAAGAAAGACAUAGACAAUCUUAAAUGUAAAAGUUAAAAAAUCCUAAAAGUUACUAAUUGUAAAAAAUAUUUUAAUCAAUUCAUGCAACUUUUAGUUAAGACGUGGAAUGGUGAUGUCAUAGUAUUUUGGGAAAACCCUAAGUAAACCAACCCUCACAAAGGCUGAAACCUAGCAUUGAAUUAUUUCAAUACAUAUUUACAUCAAGUUGAUUCAUCCCUACUCUAUCUGACCACCAGAGAAAAGUAAAUAUCCCCUGGAGAAAGAUAAUAUCAUUCACAAUCUCUCUAACUUUUACAGUCUCUAGAAUGCAAUAAAAAAUUACCAAGCAUGACAGCAGGAAGAAGUAACUAACAGAAAACCUGCAAGUAAUAAAAACAUAGGAAUAAUCAAACAAAAAUAUUAAAAUCAUAUGAUAAACAUGUUCAAGAGAGUAGAGUAAAAGAUAGAGACUAUAUCCCCUGAGAAAUGAAUCAAAUGGGCUGGGUGCCGU
Molecule: long non-coding RNA, 7710 nt
Filed under: Homo sapiens (human)
Lineage: Eukaryota; Metazoa; Chordata; Mammalia; Primates; Hominidae
Description: HSALNT0143402
Source: RNAcentral